RNAcentral lists this ribosomal RNA (468 nucleotides) under uncultured bacterium. RNAcentral's name for it is "partial 16S ribosomal RNA". It matches the Rfam family "Bacterial small subunit ribosomal RNA", at positions 28 to 507 of the family's 1533-position model. The record is from RNAcentral.
GACGAACGCUGGCGGCGUGCUUAACACAUGCAAGUCGAACGGAAAGGCCCUGCUUUUGUGGGGUGCUCGAGUGGCGAACGGGUGAGUAACACGUGAGUAACCUGCCCUUGACUUUGGGAUAACUUCAGGAAACUGGGGCUAAUACCGGAUAGGAGCUCCUGCUGCAUGGUGGGGGCUGGAAAGUUUCGGCGGUUGGGGAUGGACUCGCGGCUUAUCAGCUUGUUGGUGGGGUAGUGGCUCACCAAGGCUUUGACGGGUAGCCGGCCUGAGAGGGUGACCGGCCACAUUGGGACUGAGAUACGGCCCAGACUCCUACGGGAGGCAGCAGUGGGGAAUAUUGCACAAUGGGCGGAAGCCUGAUGCAGCAACGCCGCGUGCGGGAUGACGGCCUUCGGGUUGUAAACCGCUUUCGCCUGUGACGAAGCGUGAGUGACGGUAAUGGGUAAAGAAGCACCGGCUAACUACGUG